This 216-nucleotide ribosomal RNA is filed under the name Escherichia coli. RNAcentral's name for it is "partial 23S ribosomal RNA". It matches the Rfam family "Bacterial large subunit ribosomal RNA", at positions 2727 to 2925 of the family's 2925-position model. Lineage: Bacteria; Pseudomonadati; Pseudomonadota; Gammaproteobacteria; Enterobacterales; Enterobacteriaceae. The record is from RNAcentral.
UGCCAAUGGCACUGCCCGGUAGCUAAAUGCGGAAGAGAUAAGUGCUGAAAGCAUCUAAGCACGAAACUUGCCCCGAGAUGAGUUCUCCCUGACUCCUUGAGAGUCCUGAAGGAACGUUGAAGACGACGACGUUGAUAGGCCGGGUGUGUAAGCGCAGCGAUGCGUUGAGCUAACCGGUACUAAUGAACCGUGAGGCUUAACCUUACAACGCCGAAG